This 700-nucleotide ribosomal RNA is filed under the name Kocuria sp. RNAcentral describes it as "bacterial SSU rRNA". It matches the Rfam family "Bacterial small subunit ribosomal RNA", at positions 76 to 787 of the family's 1533-position model. Lineage: Bacteria; Bacillati; Actinomycetota; Actinomycetes; Micrococcales; Micrococcaceae. The record is from RNAcentral.
CAGCUUGCUGGUGUGGAUGAGUGGCGAACGGGUGAGUAAUACGUGAGUAACCUGCCCUUGACUCUGGGAUAAGCCCGGGAAACUGGGUCUAAUACUGGAUGCUACAUGUCACCGCAUGGUGGCGUGUGGAAAGGGUUUACUGGUCUUGGAUGGGCUCACGGCCUAUCAGCUUGUUGGUGAGGUAAUGGCUUACCAAGGCGACGACGGGUAGCCGGCCUGAGAGGGUGACCGGCCACACUGGGACUGAGACACGGCCCAGACUCCUACGGGAGGCAGCAGUGGGGAAUAUUGCACAAUGGGCGAAAGCCUGAUGCAGCGACGCCGCGUGAGGGAUGACGGCCUUCGGGUUGUAAACCUCUUUCAGCAGGGAAGAAGCCACAAGUGACGGUACCUGCAGAAGAAGCGCCGGCUAACUACGUGCCAGCAGCCGCGGUAAUACGUAGGGCGCAAGCGUUGUCCGGAAUUAUUGGGCGUAAAGAGCUCGUAGGCGGUUUGUCGCGUCUGCUGUGAAAGCCCGGGGCUUAACCCCGGGUGUGCAGUGGGUACGGGCAGACUAGAGUGCAGUAGGGGAGACUGGAAUUCCUGGUGUAGCGGUGGAAUGCGCAGAUAUCAGGAGGAACACCGAUGGCGAAGGCAGGUCUCUGGGCUGUUACUGACGCUGAGGAGCGAAAGCAUGGGGAGCGAACAGGAUUAGAUACCC